Molecule: ribosomal RNA, 274 nt
Filed under: uncultured bacterium
Lineage: Bacteria
Description: partial 16S ribosomal RNA
Rfam family: Bacterial small subunit ribosomal RNA
Source: RNAcentral
CUACGGAGGGUGCAAGCGUUAUUCGGAAUCACUGGGCGUAAAGGACGCGUAGGCGGGUUGGCAAGUCAGAUGUGAGAUCCUACAGCUUAACUGUAGAACUGCAUUUGAAACUGCUAACCUAGAGUAUGGGAGGGGGAGAUGGAAUUAGUGGUGUAGGGGUAAAAUCCGUAGAUAUCACUAGGAAUACCGAAAGCGAAGGCGAUCUCCUGGAACAUAACUGACGCUAAGGCGUGAAAGCGUGGGGAGCAAACAGGAUUAGAAACCCUAGUAGUCC